RNAcentral lists this ribosomal RNA (460 nucleotides) under uncultured bacterium. RNAcentral's name for it is "partial 16S ribosomal RNA". It matches the Rfam family "Bacterial small subunit ribosomal RNA", at positions 338 to 795 of the family's 1533-position model. The record is from RNAcentral.
CCUACGGGAGGCAGCAGUGAGGAAUAUUGGUCAAUGGACGCGAGCCUGAACCAGCCAUGCAGCGUGCAGGAAGACUGCCCUAUGGGUUGUAAACUGCUUUUGUAAGAGAGUAAAUUCAGGUACGUGUGUCUUUUUGUAAGUAUCUUACGAAUAAGGAUCGGCUAACUCCGUGCCAGCAGCCGCGGUAAUACGGAGGAUCCGAGCGUUAUCCGGAUUUAUUGGGUUUAAAGGGUGCGUAGACGGGUUGUUAAGUUAGAUGUGAAAGCUCGCGGCUCAACUGCGAAAUUGUAAUUAAUACUGGCGGACUAGAGAGUAGUUGCGGUAGGCGGAAUGGAUGGUGUAGCGGUGAAAUGCUUAGAGAUCACAAAGAACACCGAUUGCGAAGGCAGCUUACUAAACUAUAACUGACGUUGAGGCACGAAAGUGUGGGGAGCAAACAGGAUUAGAUACCCGAGUAGUC